GAGGGUAUAGCUCAGUGGUAGAGUGUAUGCUUAGCAUGCAUGAGGUUGUGGGUUCAAUUCCCCAGAACCUCC
This 72-nucleotide transfer RNA is filed under the name Camelus bactrianus (Bactrian camel). It matches the Rfam family "tRNA". Rfam says of the family: Transfer RNA (tRNA) molecules are approximately 80 nucleotides in length. Their secondary structure includes four short double-helical elements and three loops (D, anti-codon, and T loops). RNAcentral also lists the same sequence under 2 other names. The record is from Rfam by way of RNAcentral. Lineage: Eukaryota; Metazoa; Chordata; Mammalia; Artiodactyla; Camelidae.